This 478-nucleotide ribosomal RNA is filed under the name uncultured bacterium. Its description in RNAcentral is "partial 16S ribosomal RNA". It matches the Rfam family "Bacterial small subunit ribosomal RNA", at positions 28 to 523 of the family's 1533-position model. The record is from RNAcentral.
GACGAACGCUGGCGGCGUGCUUAACACAUGCAAGUCGAACGGUAAGGCCCUUCGGGGUACACGAGUGGCGAACGGGUGAGUAACACGUGGGUGAUCUGCCCUGCACUUCGGGAUAAGCCUGGGAAACUGGGUCUAAUACCGGAUAGGACUCCGGACUGCAUGGUCUGGGGUGGAAAGCUGUUGCGGUGUGGGAUGGGCCCGCGGCCUAUCAGCUUGUUGGUGGGGUGAUGGCCUACCAAGGCGACGACGGGGAGCCGGCCUGAGAGGGUGAACGGCCACACUGGGACUGAGAUACGGCCCAGACUCCUACGGGAGGCAGCAGUGGGGAAUAUUGCACAAUGGGCGCAAGCCUGAUGCAGCGACGCCGCGUGAGGGAUGACGGCCUUCGGGUUGUAAACCUCUUUCAGCACAGACGAAGCGCAAGUGACGGUAUGUGCAGAAGAAGGACCGGCCAACUACGUGCCAGCCGCCGCGGUAA